CUAAUUGUUCCAUGUCUGAUGUAUGUCACUAAAGUGGAGAAACCAUGAAAAAUGAAAAGGAAAAUCCCCGCCUACCUGCACGAGUUUCCCUUUGUGUAUGGAAUGGACCCAAACUUACGUAGAUCAGCUUUAUUGAACCUUAUUCUCGAGGACUGCCGCGAACUGCCCUCUUUGAAGAAACCACCCACGUAAUAACGACCCUGGAGAGCAACGCAAAACCCAGCCGGCUGCCGCGCCAACUUCGCCAAAUUACUGGGCUCGCCCGAAGACAGGCAAACUGGCAAGAGAUUCUGCGAGGGGAAAAAAUAAAACACGACAACUACCCACAAAGGGCUUGGUAUUUUUUUAAAGCCAGUAUCUAAAAGCCUCCACCACCGAGCUACUGCA
Struthio camelus australis is the source of this 387-nucleotide non-coding RNA. NCBI's taxonomy places the organism in Eukaryota, Metazoa, Chordata, Aves, Struthioniformes, Struthionidae. The record is from RefSeq and is a predicted model, not a curated record.